Molecule: non-coding RNA, 109 nt
Filed under: Defluviitoga tunisiensis
Lineage: Bacteria; Thermotogati; Thermotogota; Thermotogae; Petrotogales; Petrotogaceae
Description: TPP sequence
Rfam family: TPP riboswitch aptamer (THI element)
About the family: Vitamin B(1) in its active form thiamin pyrophosphate (TPP) is an essential coenzyme that is synthesised by coupling of pyrimidine and thiazole moieties in bacteria. The previously detected thiamin-regulatory element, thi box was extended, resulting in a new, highly conserved RNA secondary structure, the THI element, which is widely distributed in eubacteria and also occurs in some archaea.
Source: Rfam by way of RNAcentral
UUCAAGUGCCGGGGGAGCUUUAUGGCUGAGAGGAUGUGUUAGGUGAAACACAUCGACCCCAGAACCUGAUCCAGGUAAUACUGGCGGAGGAAGGCUUAAGUGGUUAUUU